ACGAACGCUGGCGGCAUGCCUAACCCCUGCAAGUCGAACGAGACCUUCGGGUCUAGUGGCGCACGGGUGCGUAACGCGUGGGAACCUGCCUUUAGGUUCGGAAUAACUCAGAGAAAUUUGAGCUAAUACCGGAUGAUGUCUUCGGACCAAAGAUUUAUCGCCUUUAGAUGGGCCCGCGUUGGAUUAGCUAGUUGGUGGGGUAAAGGCCUACCAAGGCGACGAUCCAUAGCUGGUCUGAGAGGAUGAUCAGCCACACUGGGACUGAGACACGGCCCAGACUCCUACGGGAGGCAGCAGUGGGGAAUAUUGGACAAUGGGCGAAAGCCUGAUCCAGCAAUGCCGCGUGAGUGAUGAAGGCCUUAGGGUUGUAAAGCUCUUUUACCCGAGAUGAUAAUGACAGUAUCGGGAGAAUAAGCUCCGGCUAACUCCGUG
RNAcentral lists this ribosomal RNA (432 nucleotides) under uncultured bacterium. RNAcentral's name for it is "partial 16S ribosomal RNA". It matches the Rfam family "Bacterial small subunit ribosomal RNA", at positions 29 to 507 of the family's 1533-position model. The record is from RNAcentral.